AACAAUUUUAAGUCAUCCAUUUCUUUAUACCCGGGACACCCGAUCAACCAAAGGAAACUUGAAGGUCACAAACAUGCGAGAUUGCAAACCCACGUUGCCUCGAUCGCCUGAUGUCAUGUCGUGUCACUGUGCAGUGAGAUUGUACAUGAGCAAACAGCCCUACAGUACUUAAUUUACCCAGGAGUAGUCUACUUGUAGUUGAAGGUAGACCGAAGGCCAGACUUAGGCAGGAUGAUUGAACAAAUCUGCUUGCAGAUGGACUACUGAGGCAAAAAAAUUGGACUCUCAGGAGGUGAACAGAUGUUCAGCAAGAAAUUUGCACAUCAAAUUCUGUGAAUUACACUGAUAUCCCCCCCCCAAAAAAAAAAGAACAGAGAGACCAAUCAUUAACAGGUUGAGACUUGGUGCACAUAACCUUGCCACAGAAAAGGGGAUUUACCUAUAAACACUCCCUAAUGAAAGAUUUUGUAAAUUAUUUGUUACACAGGAGAGAUUUAAGAUGUAUUUCGUUUUUAUUUAGCUACAAAAAAAUACAAUAAUUAUAAUUUAACUUUUAAGAGGAUAUUGAUGUAUUUUUUUCUUGAAAGGAAAAGUAUCAAAUUUGUCUCAUACAUCUUUGAUAGAUUAGUCAUUGAAU
Long non-coding RNA from Saccostrea cuccullata (small rock oyster), 637 nucleotides. RefSeq lists it as uncharacterized. The record is from RefSeq and is a predicted model, not a curated record. The transcript is spliced from 4 exons. Lineage: Eukaryota; Metazoa; Mollusca; Bivalvia; Ostreida; Ostreidae.